RNAcentral lists this ribosomal RNA (497 nucleotides) under uncultured bacterium. RNAcentral's name for it is "partial 16S ribosomal RNA". It matches the Rfam family "Bacterial small subunit ribosomal RNA", at positions 28 to 507 of the family's 1533-position model. The record is from RNAcentral.
GAUGAACGCUGGCGGCGUGCCUAAUACAUGCAAGUCGAGCGAACACAUAAGGAGCUUGCUCCUUUGACGUUAGCGGCGGACGGGUGAGUAACACGUGGGUAACCUACCUCUAAGACUGGAAUAACUCCGGGAAACCGGGGCUAAUGCCGGCUAACAUUUCGAACCGCAUGGUUCUAAAGUUAAAGAUGGUUUUGCUAACACUUAUAGACGGACCCGCGCCGUAUUAGCUAGUUGGUAAGGUAACGGCUUACCAAGGCCACGAUACGUAGCCGACCUGAGAGGGUGAUCGGCCACACUGGAACUGAGACACGGUCCAGACUCCUACGGGAGGCAGCAGUAGGGAAUAUUCCGCAAUGGGCGAAAGCCUGACGGAGCAACGCCGCGUGAGUGAUGAAGGUCUUCGGAUCGUAAAACUCUGUUAUUAGGGAAGAAAAAAUGUGGAAGUAAAUCUGGCCGUCUUGACGGUACCUAAAGAGAAAGCAACGGCUAACUACGUG